GUUUCCCACUGCCAAAGAUUAUGCAGUUGAGUUCUCCACAUUUGGGGAAAUUGCAGGGAUCAGCACAUCCAGAGUGCAAUGAAUAAGCCUCACCCUGGGAAAAUCACCUUUGUGAUGAUGGUAUUUCACCUCCUAGAAAGAAUCUACAAAAUUUAUGAAGAAGUAGGUUGUAAGGAGCUACUUAAGCAAGAAUAUCUUUCUGGCUGGAGAGACAUGGUUCUUCAUGGAGUCUACAGACAGGGAACAUCCUUUUCGAACUAAAAAAAAAAAGAAAAAACCCAACAUGGGUUGUAAGUUCUUCUCUCGUGAAGCCAUCUACAGAAUGGCCAAUUAUUCUCUGUCGUUGAUCUG
Long non-coding RNA from Homo sapiens (human), 351 nucleotides. RefSeq lists it as uncharacterized. The transcript is spliced from 3 exons. Lineage: Eukaryota; Metazoa; Chordata; Mammalia; Primates; Hominidae. The record is from RefSeq and is a predicted model, not a curated record.